CCAACCCCUAUACUUGGACUCUAGAGAUGUGGCAGUGACUGUCACCUGCUUUGCUGGAAUCAGAAAUCUAGGAGGGAAUAGAAAAGUCCUUUUCCAUGUGACAUAUGUGGCCGCCAGUUCAAUGACACAGGGAAUCUGAAACGUCAUAUUGAGUGUACUCAUGGUGGGAAGAGAAAAUGGACGUGCUUUAUUUGUGGAAAAUCAGUGAGAGAAAGAACUACGUUGAAAGAGCAUUUAAGAAUCCACAGUGGAGAGAAGCCUCAUCUUUGCAGUAUUUGCGGGCAGAGCUUUCGUCAUGGAAGCUCAUACAGAAGCCAUGCCUUCAGGUCUUUUGGUUUUAGCAGGUCUAGCUGGCCUUGAACUUUCAAUUCUCCCAGGUAGCUAACAUGAUAUCCGUGCACCACCAGCCUGUCUUGCUCUAAUUGUUGCUUCAACGAAAACAUUUCUUAG
Dipodomys ordii (Ord's kangaroo rat) is the source of this 450-nucleotide long non-coding RNA. RefSeq lists it as uncharacterized. Lineage: Eukaryota; Metazoa; Chordata; Mammalia; Rodentia; Heteromyidae. The transcript has 4 exons. The record is from RefSeq and is a predicted model, not a curated record.